This 228-nucleotide ribosomal RNA is filed under the name uncultured bacterium. RNAcentral describes it as "partial 16S ribosomal RNA". It matches the Rfam family "Bacterial small subunit ribosomal RNA", at positions 568 to 796 of the family's 1533-position model. The record is from RNAcentral.
UGCGUAGGCGGACUAAUAAGUCAGUGGUGAAAUCUUUCGGCUCAACCGGGAAACUGCCAUUGAUACUGUUAGUCUUGAGUUCGGUUGAGGUAGGCGGAAUGUGUAAUGUAGCGGUGAAAUGCUUAGAUAUUACACAGAACACCAAUUGCGUAGGCAGCUUACUAGACCGACACUGACGCUGAGGCACGAAAGCGUGGGGAGCGAACAGGAUUAGAUACCCUGUAGUCC